This 472-nucleotide ribosomal RNA is filed under the name uncultured bacterium. RNAcentral's name for it is "bacterial SSU rRNA". It matches the Rfam family "Bacterial small subunit ribosomal RNA", at positions 335 to 802 of the family's 1533-position model. The record is from RNAcentral.
ACUCCUACGCGAGGCAGCAGUAGGGAAUCUUCCACAAUGGACGAAAGUCUGAUGGAGCAACGCCGCGUGAGUGAAGAAGGGUUUCGGCUCGUAAAACUCUGUUGUUAAAGAAGAACAUAUCUGAGAGUAACUGUUCAGGUAUUGACGGUAUUUAACCAGAAAGCCACGGCUAACUACGUGCCAGCAGCCGCGGUAAUACGUAGGUGGCAAGCGUUGUCCGGAUUUAUUGGGCGUAAAGCGAGCGCAGGCGGUUUUUAAGUCUGAUGUGAAAGCCUUCGGCUCAACCGAAGAAGUGCAUCGGAAACUGGGAAACUUGAGUGCAGAAGAGGACAGUGGAACUCCAUGUGUAGCGGUGAAAUGCGUAGAUAUAUGGAAGAACACCAGUGGCGAAGGCGGCUGUCUGGUCUGUAACUGACGCUGAGGCUCGAAAGUAUGGGUAGCAAACAGGAUUAGAUACCCUGGUAGGAUAGCG